RNAcentral lists this ribosomal RNA (806 nucleotides) under Entamoeba moshkovskii. RNAcentral's name for it is "SSU rRNA". It matches the Rfam family "Eukaryotic small subunit ribosomal RNA", at positions 1064 to 1607 of the family's 1831-position model. The record is from RNAcentral. Lineage: Eukaryota; Evosea; Mastigamoebida; Endamoebidae.
UUCUCUCUUUAGAGUUUAACCCUGUGACCAUACUCCCCCCUGAAGUCCAUAAACUCGAGAUUUCUUCUUUAAAUUUUUGAACAAGGUAGUGUGUGAAACCCCAAAGGUUUCACAACUACCUUGUUCAGAACUUAAAGAGAAAUCUCGAGUUUAUGGACUUCAGGGGGAGUAUGGUCACAAGGCUGAAACUUAAAGGAAUUGACGGAAGGGCACACCAGGAGUGGAGCCUGCGGCUUAAUUUGACUCAACACGGGAAAACUUACCAAGACCGAACAGUAGAAGGAAUGACAGAUUAAGAGUUCUUUCAUGAUUUAUUGGGUAGUGGUGCAUGGCCGUUCUUAGUUGGUGGAGUGAUUUGUCAGGUUAAUUCCGGUAACGAACGAGACUGAAACCUAUUAAUUAGUUUCCUGCCUAUACGACAGGAAUCUCCGCAAGGUCAGGUGCCUCGGUACCACUUCUUAAAGGGACACAUUUCAAUUGUCUCAUUUUAAUCGAUGUCUCUGGCUCCGGUCAGAACUCUUUUAACGUGAGAAAAAGAAAAAGGAAGCAUUCAGCAAUAACAGGUCUGUGAUGCCCUUAGACAUCUUGGGCCGCACGCGCGCUACAAUGGAGUUACUAGAGAGUAUUUUAUCAUCCAAGCUUUAAUAUUGUGACAACUACCUUGUUCAGAACUUAAAGAGAAAUCUCGAGUUUAUGGACUUCAGGGGGAGUAUGGUCACAAGGCUGAAACUUAAAGGAAUUGACGGAAGGGCACACCAGGAGUGGAGCCUGCGGCUUAAUUUGACUCACACGGGAAAACUUACAAG